This 70-nucleotide transfer RNA is filed under the name Cavia porcellus (domestic guinea pig). It matches the Rfam family "tRNA". From Rfam's summary of the family: Transfer RNA (tRNA) molecules are approximately 80 nucleotides in length. Their secondary structure includes four short double-helical elements and three loops (D, anti-codon, and T loops). Further hydrogen bonds mediate the characteristic L-shaped molecular structure. tRNAs have two regions of fundamental functional importance: the anti-codon, which is responsible for specific mRNA codon recognition, and the 3' end, to which the tRNAs corresponding amino acid is attached (by aminoacyl-tRNA synthetases). tRNAs cope with the degeneracy of the genetic code in two manners: having more than one tRNA (with a specific anti-codon) for a particular amino acid; and 'wobble' base-pairing, i.e. permitting non-standard base-pairing at the 3rd anti-codon position. The record is from Rfam by way of RNAcentral. Lineage: Eukaryota; Metazoa; Chordata; Mammalia; Rodentia; Caviidae.
GGGGAUAUAGCUCAGUGGCACAAGCGCUUGCCUGACAAGCAUAGGUCCUGGGUUCAAUUCCCAGUACCCA